CACUGGACCCGGCAGGAGCUACGGUGCUAAAGCUAAAAACACCGGCAGUGGUGCAUCGCCAUGGAUCACCGCACGGCGAUAUUCAGGGAGCCCAUGUUGGGGAGGAGGGCUGACAGACAGAAAGCCUGUCUGCCGGGAAACAAUGAGCGCUGUCCGCGGUGCUGAAAACAAAAGCCCGAGGACAACCAUCCAAAAUUGAGGUUCAUCUGAGGCCAGGAGGGGGCAGAAGUGGGCUGCUGGAGCGAGGCCCAACAUGGACUCACGGGGGAAACGGCAUUUACCAACCCCAAAACAACUCCCAAACCAGUGGCGAUUAAUUUUGCAAAGUGUACCGAGUAAAUGUAUUAAAUGUAGCAAAUCAAUGUAUUAUAGAAAAUCCCUAAACCCUAUAAUUAACAAAGGCAGUAUGAUACUUAAAUGCAUAAGUGCAGCAGAACAACACAUUGGGAAACAAAUGCCUCUUAGCUAUUGUAUAUUACAUAUAUUACAUAUAGAAAGGGGUUCAUUUAGUCCUAUAUUUUUGGAUAUUAGUUUUGCAUAAAUGCCAUUGCCUUUUAAAAUCCACGUGCAGUAAGGAAACGGUAAUUCAUUAGGGAGAGAAAAUAUAUUGAAAUAAUGAUUAUUUAUAUAAAUGAGUUGAGUUGAAGCUGAUUUUGCCGAUCCCACCUUGUAACCUCACUUCUGCACACACUACACGGUGUGUAGUAAAGUACAGUGCAGCGACCUAGCCUGCAUGACCAUAAACUGGAGUAUUAUUGUGAGUUUAAGCAGCCCGGUGUCUCCAGUGCUGGUAAAUAUUAACAGAGAGCCGGUGCUGCUAUAAAUCAGCAGCAGUGAAGGCCACUCCGACAGCAGCAGCCUCCACACAGCGGCCCGACCGGAGCUGAGGCCCGGCCAGAGAGCCAGCUUUCCCAGGACAGGGGGCACAACAGCGGCCUCGUUAUCACGCUAAUCACACACCCACACACAUAUAGACACACACACACUGCUGCUGCACCCGGCUAAUCAUUACAAACACAGAUAACUCCACACACUCAGACUGCACACACUGGGCCUACAGACACGGUUAGUCCUGCAUUUCAUAAUCUCACAGAGAACAACAAACAGACAUCUGUGCUGCAAAUCCUGCAAAUAUUCAACGCUCUGUUUGAGAGAAUGUCUCUUCUUUACUGUGCUAAUACCCUCAAUUUCCUAAAACACCGGAAAACUAUUUAUUUUUUAAAGUUGUCAAUGCGAUUACAGCUGAUUUACGGAGUUUAAAUAGAUAUAUCAGUUCUGAAUGUAUUCAUUAUUAAAUAUGAAUUGUUCCCUAUCAAA
Gymnodraco acuticeps is the source of this 1317-nucleotide long non-coding RNA. RefSeq lists it as uncharacterized. The transcript has 3 exons. NCBI's taxonomy places the organism in Eukaryota, Metazoa, Chordata, Actinopteri, Perciformes, Bathydraconidae. The record is from RefSeq and is a predicted model, not a curated record.